AGAAAAGUUACCACAGGGA
This 19-nucleotide non-coding RNA is filed under the name Arabidopsis thaliana (thale cress). RNAcentral also lists the same sequence under 1 other name. The record is from RNAcentral. Lineage: Eukaryota; Viridiplantae; Streptophyta; Magnoliopsida; Brassicales; Brassicaceae.